Molecule: ribosomal RNA, 301 nt
Filed under: uncultured bacterium
Lineage: Bacteria
Description: partial 16S ribosomal RNA
Rfam family: Bacterial small subunit ribosomal RNA
Source: RNAcentral
CAGUAGCCGCGGUAAAACGGAGGGCGCGAGCGUUACCCGGAUUUACUGGGCGUAAAGGGCGUGUAGGCGGCCUGGGGCGUCCCAUGUGAAAGGCCACGGCUCAACCGUGGAGGAGCGUGGGAUACGCUCAGGCUAGAGGGUGGGAGAGGGUGGUGGAAUUCCCGGAGUAGCGGUGAAAUGCGCAGAUACCGGGAGGAACGCCGAUGGCGAAGGCAGCCACCUGGUCCACUUCUGACGCUGAGGCGCGAAAGCGUGGGGAGCAAACCGGAUUAGAUACCCCUGUAGUCCCUGUCUCUUAUAC